GACGAACGCUGGCGGCGUGCUUAACACAUGCAAGUCGAACGGAAAGGCCCUGCUUGCAGGGUACUCGAGUGGCGAACGGGUGAGUAACACGUGGGUGAUCUGCCCUGCACUUCGGGAUAAGCCUGGGAAACUGGGUCUAAUACCGUAUAGGAGCCCUUUUUAGUGUGAUGGUUGGAAAGUUUUUUCGGUGUAGGAUGAGCUCGCGGCCUAUCAGCUUGUUGGUGGGGUAAUGGCCUACCAAGGCGGCGACGGGUAGCCGGCCUGAGAGGGUGGACGGCCACAUUGGGACUGAGAUACGGCCCAGACUCCUAAGGGAGGCAGAAGUGGGGAAUAUUGCACAAUGGGCGCAAGCCUGAUGCAGCGACGCCGCGGGGGGGAUGACGGCCUUCGGGUUGUAAACUCCUUUCGCUAGGGAAGAAGCUUUUUGUGACGGUACCUAGAUAAGAAGCACCGGCUAACUACGUG
Molecule: ribosomal RNA, 465 nt
Filed under: uncultured bacterium
Lineage: Bacteria
Description: partial 16S ribosomal RNA
Rfam family: Bacterial small subunit ribosomal RNA
Source: RNAcentral